Molecule: ribosomal RNA, 1333 nt
Filed under: uncultured bacterium
Lineage: Bacteria
Description: bacterial SSU rRNA
Rfam family: Bacterial small subunit ribosomal RNA
Source: RNAcentral
GACGAACGCUGGCGGCGCGCCUAACACAUGCAAGUCGAACGAGCGAGAGAGAGCUUGCUUUCUCAAGCGAGUGGCGAACGGGUGAGUAACGCGUGAGGAACCUGCCUCAAAGAGGGGGACAACAGUUGGAAACGACUGCUAAUACCGCAUAAGCCCACAGCUCGGCAUCGAGCAGAGGGAAAAGGAGCAAUCCGCUUUGAGAUGGCCUCGCGUCCGAUUAGCUAGUUGGUGAGGUAAUGGCCCACCAAGGCAACGAUCGGUAGCCGGACUGAGAGGUUGAACGGCCACAUUGGGACUGAGACACGGCCCAGACUCCUACGGGAGGCAGCAGUGGGGAAUAUUGCACAAUGGGGGAAACCCUGAUGCAGCGACGCCGCGUGGAGGAAGAAGGUCUUCGGAUUGUAAACUCCUGUUGUUGAGGAAGAUAAUGACGGUACUCAACAAGGAAGUGACGGCUAACUACGUGCCAGCAGCCGCGGUAAAACGUAGGUCACAAGCGUUGUCCGAAAUUACUGGGUGUAAAGGGAGCGCAGGCGGGAAGACAAGUUGGAAGUGAAAUCUAUGGGCUCAACCCAUAAACUGCUUUCAAAACUGUUUUUCUUGAGUAGUGCAGAGGUAGGCGGAAUUCCCGGUGUAGCGGUGGAAUGCGUAGAUAUCGGGAGGAACACCAGUGGCGAAGGCGGCCUACUGGGCACCAACUGACGCUGAGGCUCGAAAGUGUGGGUAGCAAACAGGAUUAGAUACCCUGGUAGUCCACACCGUAAACGAUGAUUACUAGGUGUUGGAGGAUUGACCCCUUCAGUGCCGCAGUUAACACAAUAAGUAAUCCACCUGGGGAGUACGACCGCAAGGUUGAAACUCAAAGGAAUUGACGGGGGCCCGCACAAGCAGUGGAGUAUGUGGUUUAAUUCGACGCAACGCGAAGAACCUUACCAAGUCUUGACAUCCCUUGACGAACAUAGAAAUAUGUUUUCUCUUCGGAGCAAGGAGACAGGUGGUGCAUGGUUGUCGUCAGCUCGUGUCGUGAGAUGUUGGGUUAAGUCCCGCAACGAGCGCAACCCUUACUGUCAGUUACUACGCAAGAGGACUCUGGCAGGACUGCCGUUGACAAAACGGAGGAAGGUGGGGAUGACGUCAAAUCAUCAUGCCCUUUAUGACUUGGGCUACACACGUACUACAAUGGCGUUAAACAAAGAGAAGCAAGACCGCGAGGUGGAGCAAAACUCAGAAACAACGUCCCAGUUCGGACUGCAGGCUGCAACUCGCCUGCACGAAGUCGGAAUUGCUAGUAAUCGUGGAUCAGCAUGCCACGGUGAAUACGUUCCCGGGCCUU